RNAcentral lists this ribosomal RNA (433 nucleotides) under uncultured bacterium. Its description in RNAcentral is "partial 16S ribosomal RNA". It matches the Rfam family "Bacterial small subunit ribosomal RNA", at positions 29 to 507 of the family's 1533-position model. The record is from RNAcentral.
AACGAACGCUGGCGGCAUGCCUAACACAUGCAAGUCGAACGAGACCUUCGGGUCUAGUGGCGCACGGGUGCGUAACGCGUGGGAACCUGCCCUUAGGUUCGGAAUAACUCCCCGAAAGGGGUGCUAAUACCGGAUAAUGUCUUCGGACCAAAGAUUUAUCGCCUUUGGAUGGGCCCGCGUUGGAUUAGCUAGUUGGUAGGGUAAAAGCCUACCAAGGCGACGAUCCAUAGCUGGUCUGAGAGGAUGAUCAGCCACACUGGGACUGGGACACGGCCCAGACUCCUACGGGAGGCAGGAGUGGGGAAUAUUGGACAAUGGGCGAAAGCCUGAUCCAGCAAUGCCGCGUGAGUGAUGAAGGCCUUAGGGUUGUAAAGCUCUUUUACCCGGGAUGAUAAUGACAGUACCGGGAGAAUAAGCUCCGGCUAACUCCGUG